This is a long non-coding RNA of Anguilla rostrata (American eel), 460 nucleotides long. RefSeq lists it as uncharacterized. The transcript is spliced from 3 exons. Lineage: Eukaryota; Metazoa; Chordata; Actinopteri; Anguilliformes; Anguillidae. The record is from RefSeq and is a predicted model, not a curated record.
UGGAAUGGCUAGCUACAGGUACAGCGAAGUUCAACACUACUGCAAUGGUGAGUCCUACAGUUACGGGCGAGGUCGAAUACACAAUUAAUUAUAGACACGAUGCGUCACAGUCUUACUAUCCGGAGCCUUAGGAAGAAAAAUGACUGUGAACAGACGAGGAGGAGUAUAAUUGUCAGGGGCCGACUCAAGACUGGGAUGUGGUCUGGGGAGAACUUAGACAACAUCUUGCUGGAAACACGGCGCAGCUGGGACCUGGAGCUCUGGAUGGGCCGGUAGCACAGCGCACACUGAGCCAGGGGGAUUUCUGAGCAGGAAAAAGAGUUUUUGAGAAAAAGAAGAAUGUGUGGAGAAACCCCCUCCUGUCCCUCACCCCUCCCCACCUACUCAGCGCCCUCUACAGGCCCUCCGGGGUACAACGCUCUGACACAAAACAGCUGUGGGAAUCCAGACCACGUUUCAC